AACGAACGCUGGCGGCAUGCCUAACACAUGCAAGUCGAACGAUGCCUCCGGGCAUAGUGGCGCACGGGUGCGUAACGCGUGGGAAUCUGCCCUUGGGUUCGGAAUAACUCGCCGAAAGGCGAGCUAAUACCGGAUGAUGACGUAAGUCCAAAGAUUUAUCGCCCAAGGAUGAGCCCGCGUAGGAUUAGCUAGUUGGUGGGGUAAAGGCCCACCAAGGCGACGAUCCUUAGCUGGUCGGAGAGUAUGAUCAGCCACACUGGGACUGAGACACGGCCCAGACUCCUACGGGAGGCAGCAGUGGGGAAUAUUGGACAAUGGGCGAAAGCCUGAUCCAGCAAUGCCGCGUGAGUGAUGAAGGCCUUAGGGUUGUAAAGCUCUUUUACCCGGGAUGAUAAUGACAGUACCGGGAGAAUAAGCUCCGGCUAACUCCGUG
This 433-nucleotide ribosomal RNA is filed under the name uncultured bacterium. RNAcentral's name for it is "partial 16S ribosomal RNA". It matches the Rfam family "Bacterial small subunit ribosomal RNA", at positions 29 to 507 of the family's 1533-position model. The record is from RNAcentral.